Molecule: non-coding RNA, 3558 nt
Organism: Camellia sinensis
Lineage: Eukaryota; Viridiplantae; Streptophyta; Magnoliopsida; Ericales; Theaceae
Source: RefSeq, a predicted model, not a curated record
CCUUUGAUUUUUCUUAAAAUUGUAUCAAUUUUUAGUUUAAUUGAUAAGUCUUAUUUAGAAACAAGACUCAUACUGCAAUUAAGGGGUAAACUCUCUCUAAGUUUGGUGUUCGAGGUUACAUGUUAUCUCAUUUUUUCCCCUUCAUUUUUGCUUCUUGAGUUUGUUAAAUAUGAGAUGUUGUAUAUAAUCUUAUUGUUAUGAUUGAUAAAUAAACUAUAUGUAAGUGGGUAUAAUCAAACUUUGAUUUCAUGUCUAACUCCACUGUCACUACAAGAAAACUUUGAUAAAUAAUUUCAAGUAUUUUAUGCAUUAAUCUUUUGCACUUGAUUUUAGAAAAAAUGGGACAAUGGUAGUAUAUAUUUGUCAAUCUAUUGAGUGAUCAGUAGUUAUUUAUUUUGUUUAGACAUUUAAUUUUGCAUAAUUUCAACUUUGAUCUUGGUGUUUGGGUCCAGCUCCUAUUGUAUUUGUUUGAACCAUCAUUCAACUACAUCAAACUCUUUGGUAUACAAAACAGUGUUAUUCCUUUGGUAUAUAAAAUUAAAGAAAUGAAUUUUAUCUUGGAUUUGUUGAAUUGAGUUGAGAUGCAAAAUUAUUGGUAAAUUGCCACACGAUCUAGUCUCUUUCACAAGAAUUGUCUAUUAUCUUGGAAGAUUAGUUUAUUUCUUGUUAAUUGUGGUGACUCAGUACACCAUUUGCUGUUACUUAUUCAUACAAUCCUAAGAGAAUGUGGUUUUGGUUUUGAAGUUCAGCCUCCUCUUAGCUAUAUGUAAUUAAGCAAAUUUAUGUUGGACUUCUCUUUUAGUCAUCUUGCAGAGUACUUCAGCUGAUACUUCAACCCGGCAGCAGCAAUCUGCAGGUUGUUUUCCUACCUUUAGUAUGCUCUCAGAUAAGGUUAUCUUUAGCAGGGAGAAAAUGAACUCCUUGGAGUUGAUGGCAAGUAUGACAGUAUGUCAAGUUUCCAGAAAAAACCAAAGGAAGUGAAUGUCAGAUUCCACAGUGCUUGCUUAUGUGUUUUCAGAGCUGAAUCGUCGGCAUAAUAGGGUAUAGGGAUGAUUCACUUGAAACUGUCAAAAGAAAUGAAGUCCAGUAUGGACUACCACUAAAAGUGGUGUCUUACAAGGAACUGUACAGAUGGACAAUGGACGAAAUAGUGAAGAUUAUUGGAUUAAAGAACAAUUGCACAUUUUGUGGUGUUUUCCAUCUUCAGGUAGAGCAGUUAUGCAUUUUCAAAUUGAUGAACUUAAUUUCUCUUUUUUCCUGCCCUUGUUUCUGGAUGCAGUAAUCUGCCCCUGGACUGAAGUGUUCAAUUUCAAUAGAGUUGAAUUUCUUGUGUGGAGAAAUUUCUUAACUUAAGCCAAAUUUAUAGUUUUCAUGCUUCCUUUAAUAGUAUAGCAGAUUCAUCAUAUAUCCUACCUAUGAAAAAAUAAUUGAGCAUUACAAAAUGCUAAAAGAUCUACUGAAGAGUGUUAGUCUCUCAGUCCAAUUUUUAUUUGCGAAGGUUAUGAGGUGAACCCAGUGAGGUAUGUUGUUCAAUUCAAGUAACUGUGUUAUGGUGCUGGAGCUUGCAAUUAUUUACCUAUUUUAGAUGGUGGAAUUGGUUUUAAUCAUUGUAGAGUUUUUAAUUUCUUGUCAACUCUCCAACUCAACUAUGACCAUAUAUGAUUUUGGAAGUCCUAAUAGAGUAGACAUUGUUGGAAGGCUCUAAUCGUGCUACUUUCUUGAAGGAGAAAAGCAAUCUCUUCACCGAGACAGACCCGUAAGGAUGCCACCCUACUGGUUGCAAAUCUGCAAAGGCAAUAGGUUUAUUCACGUUUGAUUGCUUUUGACUAUAUUCAACUUCCAAAUUUCGAUGUUGCUGCCGAUGCUACAGAAACCUUUAAGGUAGUGUUUUCUGCUAUUCAUUGCUCUCCAAUUAUAUUUGUUCAAUUAUAUUGCUCUCAAAUUUCGAUGGCAAUAGGUUUAUUCGUUCAAUUAUAUUGAUUUUAGUUUCUCACUGUUUUUUUUGUUAGACACAUCUGAUGGAACUCAUUGAGCAACUGGUUCCUGUCUCUAUUCUAUUUUAUUUUCUUGACUUUUAGACUAUAAAUGCUAGCCAUGGAUGAUUUUGUGUGACCAAGGUGAACGAUUUGCAGGUUUCCUUCGAAGUUGAAGAUGCUUUAAAUCAACCAUUUCCUGAAGCACAAUUUCCUGUCUCUAUUCGUUUCUUUCAAGAUCUUCUGAUAAACUUGAAGAUAAGUUCAUUACAAUGCAUGUAGACUCCCUGAUUUGAGUUUCAUUGCAGUAUACAGAAUCUAUUACAUUGGAUAUGUCUCGUGUGUAUAUUUUGCUUUUGGGGUUUUAUAAAUUUGAUUUCCAAUCUUCAUUCUCUGUUGACUAUUUCUUUUUCCUUUUCAUGUGAGCUUUCUGAUUCAUAAUAAUGUGGCAUUUCUCUUGCUAUAUUUUUUUGGUUUUAGUUCUUUGUUGAAUUCAACUCAAAGCUAUUGGAAUCUAACAAUUACAUCACCAGAAGACAAGCUGUCAAGUUUGACCUAACAGAAUCUUGUGGAAAAGCAUGAAUUUGUUUUUGAUGUAGUGCUGAAUGAAGAGGUCUCAAAUGAUGAGGUUUAUCACGAAACUAUGAAGCCCAUUGUUCCAAUAAUUUUUCAGCGGACCAAAGCAACUUGUUUUGCAUAUGGGCAAACUGGUAAAUAUAGCUUUGUUCAUAUCUCUGAUGAAAUCUGUUGCAACCUUUCUAAAUCAGGUAUGGGAAGGUGUUCAAGUCACAUUUAUUUGGAAGUCCUACAAUUGUGUCCAUAGAUGCAGAAGUGAGUAGAUUUGUUUUGCAAAGUGAUGGCAAGGCUUUUGUGCCUUCUUACCCGAAAUCUCUCACUGGGUUGAUGGGUAAGUCUUCUAUAUUGCUCAUCACUGGAAGCUUGCAAAGGAGAAUUCAUGGCCUCAUAGGGUCUUUCUUCAAAUCCUCACAUCUCAAAGCUCAGAUCACCCAAGACAGGCACAAGUAUCUCCAACAAUCUAUGGAGGAUUGGAGAGAUGAUCACCCCAUAUACAUCCAAGAUGAAGCACAACAUGUUUGCUCUGUCUCUCUCUUCCCAAAAGAAAAAUGAGUGCUAUUUCUCUAGUACCAUCCUAAUCACAAUGUAUCAAGUAUUUGUUACAAAUAGAAAUAGUUGUUAAUUAACUAUUUGUUAGUUUCACAUUAUGCUUGGUUGAUAAUUGGCAAGAGGAGAACUUGAAACUGAAGAGACUCAAAGAUGAGCUCAGAGAGCCACUGUGUUGGACUGAUUAUUUACCUCUUCCAUUCACCGAAACCGUGAUUACAGAAACUCUGAGGAUGGGAAACGUAAUUGUAGGAGUCACUACAAGAAAAAUAGGAUAUUAGUAAAUGAUAUCCAUUCUUUCAAUCAACUAAACUUAAAUGGAAGCCCACUUGGGAGGACAAGAAAAGGGUUGCUGCAACACAUUGUUGCAGGAUUUGAUGAGAGAAGAUUUGAGAAAUUUUUUUCAGAGUCCCUUUUGCUUUCUUGAUCCUAAAAUAGCUACAGUGCUCUUUCCCAGUUUCCC